AACUAAGUGCCUGAAAAAGGGUUAUUUUGAUAGAAUAAAUUAUGUAACAUUUACCUUAGUUA
This 62-nucleotide transfer RNA is filed under the name Phyllodiaptomus tunguidus. Its description in RNAcentral is "tRNA-Ile". The record is from RNAcentral. Lineage: Eukaryota; Metazoa; Arthropoda; Copepoda; Calanoida; Diaptomidae.